Molecule: ribosomal RNA, 1029 nt
Filed under: Saxidomus purpurata
Lineage: Eukaryota; Metazoa; Mollusca; Bivalvia; Venerida; Veneridae
Description: Saxidomus purpuratus 12S ribosomal RNA
Source: RNAcentral
UUUGGGUCUUAUUUUAUAUGAUAUUCUUAAUUGAAAGUAAAAAAUAAAAUAUUUAUAUGUUGAUGUGUUAGCCUUUGGCAUAAUAUUGGCUAUUUAAAUUACUUUGUUUACGCAUGGUAUUUUAAGGUUUACUGAGAGGUUAGUAUUAAAUUAUCAGAAUUUAACAUUUUGUUGAUUUAAAGUCUAUAGUUGAUAAAGUGUUUUUAAGAUCAAUGAUUAAUAUUUCUCAACACCAGCGGUUAAUUUAACCAAUCAUGUAAAUAUGGAGUUUGUAAUUGUUAAUAGGGGAGAGUAAAUGGAGUGCCAGCAUUCGCGGUUAAUCUUUUUCCUCAAGUCAAUAGGAUUUGUAAAAUAGUUAGAUUUAAGUUUUAAUUUUUAUUCACGUGAGUAUUAUUAGCGGUGAAAUGCCUAAAACUUCAUAGGUUGGCUUAGGUCAAUCUAAUUAACCGGUGAGUUUUUGAGAUUUUUAAAAUCUAGACUAGGAAAGCUGUACGUUGUAAAAACAAGGAUUAGAUACCCUUUUAUUUAGGCUGCAUUAAAGUAAAUUACAGGGAGUACGGACAGUUUGUCUGAAACUUAUUAGGGUUGGCGGUGUUUCUCAUUCAUUUAGGGGAACUUGGCGUUUAAAUCGACAAUCCUCGCAUAUCGUACCUUUAAUUGUCCUUACAUACCACCGACGAUCAACUUGCUUCGUAGAAAUUUUGCUAGUUUCAAACUAAAACUAAUUUUUUAUUGUUAGUGUUCAGUAAUAAGCCAGGUAACGUGUAGGAUUUAGAGGGAUUAGCUGAGUUACAUUAUGAAUUGAGGUGGUAUUAUUUCGGAUCAGUUUACUGUAUUGAUUGUAAUACAUGAAAAUAUAGUCUUUGGAAUAUUCUGUCAAGGUGGACUUGUUAGUAAAUUUUUUUAAGUUAAAUAAAUUUGAAUAGUGUUAAGAAACGUGUACAAAUCGCCCGGCAUCUUUUGUAAUGUUUUUCUUAAUGAAAGUAAGCCGUAACAUAGUAAUUCUAGUAGAAACUGGAGUUGAUGAAA